CAGCCGCCGCGGUAAUACAGAGGGUGCAAGCGUUAAUCGGAAUUACUGGGCGUAAAGCGCGCGUAGGUGGUUUGUUAAGUUGGAUGUGAAAGCCCCGGGCUCAACCUGGGAACUGCAUCCAAAACUGGCAAGCUAGAGUACGGUAGAGGGUGGUGGAAUUUCCUGUGUAGCGGUGAAAUGCGUAGAUAUAGGAAGGAACACCAGUGGCGAAGGCGACCACCUGGACUGAUACUGACACUGAGGUGCGAAAGCGUGGGGAGCAAACAGGAUUAGAUACCCCAGUAGUCCCUGUCUCUUAUAC
This 301-nucleotide ribosomal RNA is filed under the name uncultured bacterium. Its description in RNAcentral is "partial 16S ribosomal RNA". It matches the Rfam family "Bacterial small subunit ribosomal RNA", at positions 509 to 807 of the family's 1533-position model. The record is from RNAcentral.